CCUGCGGAAGUUGACUCUCGGGACCACCCGACCUCUUAUCUCUUGCUUACUCUCCCUCGCCUGCUACAUCCUAUAAUACCAAAAGUUACACUGAAAAACUCUAUUUUAUCUCCAACUGGAGCAACAACACUGUUGGUUCCACUGGAGGAUGAUGAAAUUCUAGGAACACUUGGAGUUCACAUAAAGAAACUCAUUUUUUAACUUUAAAUGGUUCAAUCGCAGAUGCAGAUGGGAAGCAUGUGGUCAUGUAUAUAGCACAUGUGUGUGAAUAUACAUAGACAUAGAUAGAAUGUACAUUCAUGUGAAUAUUGGUAUUUAUCUAUAUUGAAUAUGUGGUCUUCUGUAAAGCUGGGUUUGGCCCCAUUGCUAGAAUAGAACGCUUGUGAUGUAUGGUGCAUUAUCAAAAAGUCCGAGGGUAGAAAAGCGGAUGCAACGAGGGACGAAAUAGAAAGCCUGAAAAAUGUGUAACUAUGGAAAUACAAAAGAAACGGCGAAUAAAAGAGUCAUUGAAGAAAAAUCCACCCUCUUUAGGACUCAGGUAUACGUCGAUGAGCAAGGUGUAAUUGGGACUUUUAAUAUCCUUACUGGUAUUCUUUCGUAAGGGAGAUUUAAAACCUCUGUCAUGAAGGUCUGGUUGUACGAGUGGGGAAUUAAAGAGCAAAUCAAGUGAAGUAGAAGAAGACCAAUAGAAAAUGAUGAGUGCGAAAGAACGAGUGAAAGCAAGCAUUCAAUAGACGAACACAUUCUUAUCAUACCCUAC
This is a long non-coding RNA of Chelonus insularis, 760 nucleotides long. RefSeq lists it as uncharacterized. The record is from RefSeq and is a predicted model, not a curated record. NCBI's taxonomy places the organism in Eukaryota, Metazoa, Arthropoda, Insecta, Hymenoptera, Braconidae. The transcript is spliced from 3 exons.